RNAcentral lists this ribosomal RNA (420 nucleotides) under uncultured bacterium. Its description in RNAcentral is "bacterial SSU rRNA". It matches the Rfam family "Bacterial small subunit ribosomal RNA", at positions 928 to 1341 of the family's 1533-position model. The record is from RNAcentral.
AGCGGUGGUGCAUGUGGUUUAAUUCGACGCAACGCGAGGAACCUUACCUAGGCUUGACAUGUGGUGAGUAGCGAACCGAAAGGGGAGCGACCCGUCAAAUCGGGCCAUCACACAGGUGCUGCAUGGCUGUCGUCAGCUCGUGCCGUGAGGUGUUGGGUUCAGUCCCGCAACGAGCGCAACCCUCGCCCUUUGUUGCCAUCGGGUAAAGCCGGGCACUCUAAGGGGACUGCCAGCGACAAGUUGGAGAAGAGAGGAUGACGUCAAGUCAUCAUGGCCUUUAUGCCUAGGGCCACACACGUGCAACAAUGGCCGGUACAGACGGAGGCAAUGCCGAGAGGCGGAGCAAACCCGAGAAAACCGGUCCCAGUUCCGGAUUGAGGUCUGCAACNCGAACCUCAUGAAAGUCGGAAUCGCUAGUAA